UAGACGUUCAACUUUGUAACUUCACCUUAGUCUCUGAGGGCCACAGCUUCAUUUACAUGAGAACUUGAAGAUUUUUAGUGUUAUGCCUACUCUGCCAAUUCUUGGAACAUUUGCGGAACUGAGAAUUUACUUCUUCGUUUAUUACUUCCUAACUACAUUUUAAAGACUCAUUUGUUCUAGAUUCAGAUCAUUCAACAAAACAUGGCAUGAUUUCCACAGUCUCUGACAUUCUGAUUGCAUUGCUUGAGAAAAUUCUCAGUCUGGGAAUCUCCUUAAAAUGCAGCACAGAUGAUGGCUGAAUAGGAACAGCUCCGGUCUGCAGCUCCCAGCGAGAUCAACGCAGAAGGCGGGUGAUUUCUGCAUUUCCAACUGAGGGUGUAACACUGUGACCAACGAAGAGAGUGUUUUCUAUCAGUGACUCGCAGACUUCCCUUUCACUGGAAUCCAGCUUAUUAGCUGCAUGGUUAACUUUGGAGCCAGGAAAACAUCCUGCACAUGACACUGCCAUCAAGCAGAGGAGACAUGUUUCUCGGCUUCCCCUCUCUGGGACUUAAUAGCCUCUGAAGGCUAGCCUUUACUGACUCAUGAAGCUGUGUCUGCCUGGGGUCAGUGGUGGAGACAUUGCGUUAACCCCAGCAAGCGAGCCAUCACCAGAGCUUUGCACAGGGAGACACCACAUAGAAAGGCAGAUGAGGCAACACACACACCAUCCCCAGACAGCCAUGGGUCCCCAGAGACAGGAAAAAUAUGUGUUUUCUUAAAGAAUUAGAAAAGAAAACCUUGCUUUUUCCUGUGUGGCUCAUUGGUAGGAGAUCUCAAAUUCUAACCCUUGUUUUCUCUUUUACCUCUCUGUCUGCUAAAAAGCACUCCUUAGAUCCAGUAUCUAGCAUGGUGAGCCUCCUGGAUGCAGUGCUGCAGUGGCCACUGCUGGGUCAAAAACAAACACUGGGAAAGGAGGAAAAUGAUGUUUUUCUCUCUUUCAAUAAAGCAUUUGAAAUCUCUAAAAA
Molecule: long non-coding RNA, 1007 nt
Filed under: Homo sapiens (human)
Lineage: Eukaryota; Metazoa; Chordata; Mammalia; Primates; Hominidae
Description: long independently transcribed non-coding RNA 2450 (LINC02450)
Source: RNAcentral